CAGCCGCGUAAUUCCAGCUCCAAUAGCGUAUAUUAAAGUUGUUGCAGUUAAAAAGCUCGUAGUUGAAUUUCGGGAUCAAUAUAUCGGUCGUGCCUUGGUACGUACUGGUAUCAUUGGUUUCUCCUUUCUGACGAACCAUGAUGUCAUUCAUUUGGUGUUAUGGGAAGUUAGGACUGUUCCUUUGAAAAAAUUAGAGUGUUUAAAGCAGGCUUUAGCUUGAAUACAUUAGCAUGGAAUAAUGAAAUAGGACGUUCGAACCUAUUUUGUUGGUUUCUAGGAUCAACGUAAUGAUUAAUAGGGAUAGUGGGGGGCAUUAGUAUUCAAUUGUCAGAGGUGAAAUUCUUGGAUUGAUUGAAGACUAACUACUGCGAAAGCAUUUGCCAAGGAUGUUUUCAUUAAUCAAGAACGAAAGUUAGGGGAUCGAAGACGAUCAGAUACCGUCGUAGUCUUAACCAUAAACUAUGCCGACUAGGGAUCGGAUGAUGUUAAUUUUUUAAUGACUCAUUCGGCGCCUUACG
RNAcentral lists this unclassified non-coding RNA (518 nucleotides) under uncultured Glomeromycotina. Its description in RNAcentral is "SSU rRNA". It matches the Rfam family "Eukaryotic small subunit ribosomal RNA", at positions 571 to 1092 of the family's 1831-position model. The record is from RNAcentral. Lineage: Eukaryota; Fungi; Glomeromycota.